This 467-nucleotide ribosomal RNA is filed under the name uncultured bacterium. RNAcentral describes it as "bacterial SSU rRNA". It matches the Rfam family "Bacterial small subunit ribosomal RNA", at positions 329 to 793 of the family's 1533-position model. The record is from RNAcentral.
GGCCAGACUCCUACGGGAGGCAGCAGUGAGGAAUAUUGGUCAAUGGGCUUACGCCUGAACCAGCCAAGUCGCGUGAGGGAAGACUGCCCUAUGGGUUGUAAACCUCUUUUGUCAGGGAGCAAUUGGCGCUACGUGUAGCGUUAUCGAGAGUACCUGAAGAAAAAGCAUCGGCUAACUCCGUGCCAGCAGCCGCGGUAAUACGGAGGAUGCGAGCGUUAUCCGGAUUUAUUGGGUUUAAAGGGUGCGUAGGCGGACGCGUAAGUCAGCGGUAAAAUUGGGGGGCUCAACCUCGUCGAGCCGUUGAAACUGGGUGCCUUGAGUGGGCGAGAAGUGCGCGGAAUGCGUGGUGUAGCGGUGAAAUGCAUAGAUAUCACGCAGAACCCCGAUUGCGAAGGCAGCAUACCGGCGCCCUACUGACGCUGAGGCACGAAAGUGCGGGUAUCGAACAGGAUUAGAUACCCUAGUAA